UUUACCAUUCAAGGCCUAUGUC
RNAcentral lists this non-coding RNA (22 nucleotides) under Arabidopsis thaliana (thale cress). Lineage: Eukaryota; Viridiplantae; Streptophyta; Magnoliopsida; Brassicales; Brassicaceae. The record is from RNAcentral.